GCUCUGGGGCCUAGGACCUUUGUGGUAGCAGAGUCACUGCAGAGAACCAGACAAUACCAGGUUGCUUAUAAAAGGAUGCCAUGUGCUUGCUGGAGGUCCCAGGUGCAACCAAAUUGCUUGCAGCUAGGAGGACCUUGAAGAGAAAUGGGAUCAGCCCGCCAAACCAAGAAGGGUUAGCACUUUUGCUAGGAGAGCUGACCACGCACAAACAGAUGAGAACCAAAACCGAGUGAAGAGGAUUGAAGAUGAACCCACAUUUUAAAAGUUCUUGUCUGCUGGAGGUGGCAUUACCUGUGACCUCGCUUCACUUCUCCAUACAUGGCUGUUAUAGCAGAAAAUCCAGCUUUCUGAAGCAUAUUUCACGACAUAUGAUGAGACUUAUGUGAUGUGAGACCUGAGAAAACUAUGAUAGAAAGAAGCAACUCAAGUUGCAAGGAUAUUCCUCAUGUAUCAUGCAAGGAUAUUCCUCAUAUAUCAUGCUUUUUCUAUCUUCUGCUCUUUGCCACCUGUGAGGUCCCUGAAAAUGAAGGCCAAUACUACCCAGGUAAGCAAAUACCCAAAAGGCCAAAAAGACUGGGUAAUCUGGUGUUCCCGUUAAUUCUCUCUAUUAGAGUUUUAAUCUGAGACUUUCUCUUUUGUGAAUUCUUUGACACUUUUAAGGAGAAUUUUGUAUUUCGUCCUAUAUAUUUUGUUUCCAUUGGAGAGAUAUGGAGGAGAAAUGGUCCAAAUAUUAUAGCCAACCAUAAACAAAAACUGAAUUACUCCUAAAUCUAUUUAACAAGUUGAAAUAUGACUAAGCUGUUCAGUAAUAUUUGUCAUUUAUUUCAAUGAAUAUUUUCCUUAACUUUCUGAGGAAACUAAGUAACUAAUUUCAAAUGAGAAGAAAUACAAUGACAACAAACAAAAAUAAAGUGAAAUAAAUUAA
Molecule: long non-coding RNA, 925 nt
Organism: Homo sapiens (human)
Lineage: Eukaryota; Metazoa; Chordata; Mammalia; Primates; Hominidae
Gene: FIRRE
Product: firre intergenic repeating RNA element
Source: Ensembl